This 491-nucleotide ribosomal RNA is filed under the name uncultured bacterium. RNAcentral's name for it is "bacterial SSU rRNA". It matches the Rfam family "Bacterial small subunit ribosomal RNA", at positions 28 to 507 of the family's 1533-position model. The record is from RNAcentral.
GAUGAACGCUAGCUACAGGCUUAACACAUGCAAGUCGAGGGGCAGCAUGGUCUUAGCUUGCUAAGACUGAUGGCGACCGGCGCACGGGUGAGUAACACGUAUCCAACCUGCCGUCUACUCUUGGACAGCCUUCUGAAAGGAAGAUUAAUACAAGAUGGCAUCAUGAGUCCGCAUGUUCACAUGAUUAAAGGUAUUCCGGUAGACGAUGGGGAUGCGUUCCAUUAGAUAGUAGGCGGGGUAACGGCCCACCUAGUCUUCGAUGGAUAGGGGUUCUGAGAGGAAGGUCCCCCCACAUUGGAACUGAGACACGGUCCAAACUCCUACGGGAGGCAGCAGUGAGGAAUAUUGGUCAAUGGACGAGAGUCUGAACCAGCCAAGUAGCGUGAAGGAUGACUGCCCUAUGGGUUGUAAACUUCUUUUAUACGGGAAUAAAGUGAGGCACGUGUGCCUUUUUGUAUGUACCGUAUGAAUAAGGAUCGGCUAACUCCGUG